RNAcentral lists this ribosomal RNA (506 nucleotides) under Progoniada regularis. RNAcentral's name for it is "partial 16S ribosomal RNA". It matches the Rfam family "Bacterial large subunit ribosomal RNA", at positions 1827 to 2597 of the family's 2925-position model. The record is from RNAcentral. Lineage: Eukaryota; Metazoa; Annelida; Polychaeta; Phyllodocida; Goniadidae.
AACCUUUUGAAACUAUAAAUAUAAGGCCCUUCCUGCCCAGUGAUAAUAUUUAUUCAACGGCCGCAGGAUCCCGACUGUGCAAAGGUAGCAUAAUAAAUUGCCUCUUAAUUAGAGGCUAGUAUGAACGGAUACAUGAGAAUAAAACUGUCUCUUCUUUAAACAUAAAAAUUGGCCCUCAGGUGAAGAGACCUGGAUAAUUAUAGAGGACAAAAAGACCCUAUUGAGCUUCAUUUUAAAAGGAUGUUACGCAACAAAUAAAUUGAAACAAACCCAUAAAAUUUUGUUGGGGCGACAAAGGAAAAAAAAAAACUUCCUUAUUCUUAAAAGAUAACAACUCACACAAAUGACCCUAUUAAGAUCAGAGGAAAAAGCUACCAUAGGGAUAACAGGCUAAUCAUUUCAGAGAGCCCAAAUUGACGAAAUGGAUUGGCACCUCGAUGUUGGCUUAGGAUACCCCUCUGGCGCAGAAUCUAGAAAAGGUUGGUUUGUUCAACCAUUAAAAUCCU